This 374-nucleotide ribosomal RNA is filed under the name uncultured eukaryote. Its description in RNAcentral is "partial 18S ribosomal RNA". It matches the Rfam family "Eukaryotic small subunit ribosomal RNA", at positions 592 to 976 of the family's 1831-position model. The record is from RNAcentral.
CAAUAGCGUAUAUUAAAGUUGUUGCAGUUAAAAAGCUCGUAGUUGAAUGUUGGUGUCGAACGAGCGGUCAGCUUCGGCUGUACUGCUCUCUCGACUCCUUCCUUCUGUGGACUACGUCGCACUUUACUGUGUGGCGCUAGGACGCAGAUCGUUUACUGUGAAAAAAUUAGAGUGUUCAAAGCAGGCCGUACGCUUGAAUACAUUAGCAUGGAAUAAUGGAAUAGGACGUCGGGCCUAUUUUGUUGGUUCUAGGACCGUCGUAAUGAUUAAUAGGGACAGUUGGGGCCGUUUAUAUUCCGUAGUCAGAGGUGAAAUUCUUGGAUUUACGGAAGAUAAACUACUGCGAAAGCAUUCGGCAAGGAUGUUUNCGUUAA